AACGAACGCUGGCGGCAUGCCUAACACAUGCAAGUCGAACGAGAUCUUCGGGUCUAGUGGCGCACGGGUGCGUAACGCGUGGGAAUCUGCCCUUUGGUUCGGAAUAACAGUUGGAAACGACUGCUAAUACCGGAUGAUGACGAAAGUCCAAAGAUUUAUCGCCAGAGGAUGAGCCCGCGUAGGAUUAGCUAGUUGGGGUGGUAAAGGCGCACCAAGGCGACGAUCCUUAGCUGGUCUGAGAGGAUGAUCAGCCACACUGGGACUGAGACACGGCCCAGACUCCUACGGGAGGCAGCAGUGGGGAAUAUUGGACAAUGGGCGAAAGCCUGAUCCAGCAACGCCGCGUGAGUGAUGAAGGCCUUAGGGUUGUAAAGCUCUUUUACCCGGGAUGAUAAUGACAGUACCGGGAGAAUAAGCUCCGGCUAACUCCGUGCCAGCAGCCGCCGUAA
This 449-nucleotide ribosomal RNA is filed under the name uncultured bacterium. RNAcentral's name for it is "partial 16S ribosomal RNA". It matches the Rfam family "Bacterial small subunit ribosomal RNA", at positions 29 to 523 of the family's 1533-position model. The record is from RNAcentral.